UACGGAGGGGGCUAGCGUUGUUCGGAAUUACUGGGCGUAAAGCGCACGUAGGCGGCUUCGCAAGUCAGAGGUGAAAGCCCGGGGCUCAACCCCGGAACUGCCUUUGAGACUGCGUCGCUCGAAUCCGGGAGAGGCGGGUGGAAUUCCGGGUGUAGCGGUGAAAUGCGUAGAUAUACGGAAGAACACCAGUGGCGAAGGCGGCCCGCUGGACCGCCAUUGACGCUGAGGUGCGAAAGCGUGGGGAGCAAACAGG
Molecule: ribosomal RNA, 253 nt
Filed under: uncultured bacterium
Lineage: Bacteria
Description: partial 16S ribosomal RNA
Rfam family: Bacterial small subunit ribosomal RNA
Source: RNAcentral